AAAUUGAAGAGUUUGAUCAUGGCUCAGAUUGAACGCUGGCGGCAGGCCUAACACAUGCAAGUCGAGCGGUAGCACAG
Molecule: ribosomal RNA, 77 nt
Filed under: Klebsiella pneumoniae
Lineage: Bacteria; Pseudomonadati; Pseudomonadota; Gammaproteobacteria; Enterobacterales; Enterobacteriaceae
Also listed under: 7 other names
Description: partial 16S ribosomal RNA
Rfam family: Bacterial small subunit ribosomal RNA
Source: RNAcentral